RNAcentral lists this ribosomal RNA (256 nucleotides) under uncultured bacterium. Its description in RNAcentral is "partial 16S ribosomal RNA". It matches the Rfam family "Bacterial small subunit ribosomal RNA", at positions 526 to 779 of the family's 1533-position model. The record is from RNAcentral.
CGGAGGGUGCGAGCGUUAUCCGGAUUUAUUGGGUUUAAAGGGUCCGUAGGCGGACUCGUAAGUCAGUGGUGAAAUCUCACAGCUUAACUGUGAAACUGCCGUUGAUACUGCCGGGUCUUGAGUAAGGUAGAAGUGGCUGGAAUAAGUAGUGUAGCGGUGAAAUGCAUAGAUAUUACUUAGAACACCAAUUGCGAAGGCAGGUCACUAUGUCUUAACUGACGCUGAUGGACGAAAGCGUGGGGGAGCGAACAGGAUU